AUGGCUGACGGCGAGCUGGGGGGCAAGAUGGAUGGCGGCGACAGGGAGAAGGUGAGGGAGGCGGCGAGGGAGGCCGGCGAGUGGCUCGAGGUCAACCCGGACGCCGACCAGGACGACUACAUGGAAAAGCUCAAGGAGCUAGAGGAUGUUUGUAGCCCCGCCUUCGCCGCCGCGUACGGGAACACUGGCGGUGGCCAUGACGCCGCCACCGAGGAGGACGAUGACCACAACGAGCUCUAA
RNAcentral lists this ribosomal RNA (240 nucleotides) under Triticum aestivum (bread wheat). RNAcentral's name for it is "partial small subunit ribosomal RNA". The record is from RNAcentral. Lineage: Eukaryota; Viridiplantae; Streptophyta; Magnoliopsida; Poales; Poaceae.